Molecule: small nucleolar RNA, 126 nt
Organism: Jaculus jaculus (lesser Egyptian jerboa)
Lineage: Eukaryota; Metazoa; Chordata; Mammalia; Rodentia; Dipodidae
Product: small nucleolar RNA SNORA20
Exons: 1
Source: RefSeq, a predicted model, not a curated record
CUUCCCAUUUAUUUGCUGCUGUAGUCUCUCAGUGAUAUGAGCAGUUAUACGCAUGGGAUAAAACAAUAUUGGGCCACUGCAGGUUGAGGUGAAGCAUUUCAUCUCCUCUGCCUGGUCUAGACAUUG